Molecule: long non-coding RNA, 1168 nt
Filed under: Canis lupus familiaris (dog)
Lineage: Eukaryota; Metazoa; Chordata; Mammalia; Carnivora; Canidae
Description: lncRNA (ENSCAFG00000056351.1)
Source: RNAcentral
UGCAUGGGCAAGAAAUAAAUGCUUACUGUAUACUUCUGAGCUUCCGUGGUUGGUUGUUACCCAGCAUUAUCGUGUCAAUAUCUGACCCAUACCUAUUCCAAGUAAAUCUUUUCUAUGAUCUUACUAAUACAUGGCACAGAGCUGAAAAAUGAGAUUUUAUUCUGGUCUGUGAUAGUGCCACAGGUUGGGUUCUCCAGGAAGCAGAUGCUGAGAUGGAGUUAGGAGUACAAAAGGUUUAUUGAAAAAUAGCACCGGUGAAGGAAAGAUGGUGCCAUCAGACAGCAGUGAAGUCCCAGCCAGCCCAGUAGGGAGCUCUAGAGCCAGUUCCUUGAAGGGAGGUCCUGGGUCAGGGGAAAACAGCUAGACCCUCAUACUGCUGUCUGCCUCAGUCAUUGACUAGGGACUGCCCAGAAAAGACAGGGCCCUUAGCUACCAUGGCUUGCCAGUCAUGGAUUGGGAGAUACCCCAGAAGAGCAUGACCUUAGUUUGAAACCAGAUAUGGAACCCGUCAGCUAAGCCCACUCCUUGCAUCUGGGCAGUGGGUCCUUUCUGGAAGGGGAUCUGAGCAGAACAUCUCCAUGUCACCCACAGAUAGCUUUAAGAUAGUACAUGUAUAAAAGAUAAGGAAAGGCAGGACGCCUGGAUGGCUCAGCAGUUGAACUUCUGCCUUCCGCUCAGGCCAUAAUCCCAGGGUCUGGGAUCAAGUCCCGCCUCAGGCACCCUGUGAAGAGCCUGCUUCUCCCUCUGCCUAUGUCUCUGCCUCUCUCUCUCUCUCUCUCUGUCUCUCAUGAAUAAAUAAAUAAAAUAUUUUUUAAAAAAUAAGGAAAGGUAUAGAGGACGCUAGUGUGCUAUUUGACAACCUAGAAGUGUUUAAAUGACCUAUAAUUCAGUCCUGCUACUGGUUCCCUCGGGUGGAAACAGUACAGGACUCCUGGUUUUAUGCAAGCUGCUUCUUCCCCAGUCCUUUGCAUCUCCCUAAACGACAACUGGCACACAUGUAGUUGCUCAGGUGAAAAACUUAGGUGUAAAGAAGAGAUUUUGGAAAUUCAAAAGUAUUUGUUAAAUUUAAAAAUACGAGUGCUCAGGGAUCUCUGGGUGGCCCAGCGGUUUAGCACCUGCCUUCAGUCCAGGGGUGAUCCUGGAGAUUCGGGAUCAAGUCCCUCAUCGG